Nannospalax galili (Upper Galilee mountains blind mole rat) is the source of this 1222-nucleotide non-coding RNA. The record is from the annotation of a RefSeq genome assembly. NCBI's taxonomy places the organism in Eukaryota, Metazoa, Chordata, Mammalia, Rodentia, Spalacidae.
UUUAUGGGGCCAAGGAACCCCAGUCACCGUCUCCUCAGCCAGCACCAUGGCCCCAUCCAUCUUCACUCUGACCCCCAGCUGUGGGGACACUUCUAGCUCCACGGUGACCCUGGGAUGCCUAGUAAAGGGCUACUUCCCCGAGCCAGUGACAGUGUCCUGGAACUCUGGAGCCCUGUCCAGUGGUGUGCAUACCUACCCAGCUGUCCUGCAGUCCGGACUCUACACCCUCACCAGCUCAGUGACCAUACCUAGCAGCACCUGGUGCACCCAGCCUGUCACCUGCAAUGUAGCCCACCCACCCAGCAACACCAAGGUGGACAAGAAACUUGUGCCCAGCCACUCCUCGUCCAGUACGUGCACAAGUACAGAUCUCCUGGGGGGACCGUCCGUCUUCAUCUUCCCCCCGAAGCCCAAGGACGUACUCAUGAUCUCCCUGACCCCUAAGGUCACGUGUGUGGUGGUGGACAUGAGCCAGGAUGACCCCGAGGUCGAGUUCAGCUGGUUUGUGGAUGAUGUGGAGGUGCAUACGGCUCAGACACAGCCCCGGGAGGAACAGAGGAAUAGCACGUUCCGUGUGGUCAGCGUCCUCCCCAUAGAGCACCAGCACUGGCUGAAGGGCAAGGAGUUCAAGUGCAGGGUCAACAGCAAUAACCUCCCGGCUCCCAUCGAGAGAACCAUCUCCAGAGUCAAAGGGCAAGCCCAGGUGCCACAGGUUUACACCAUGCCCCCACCAAAGGAGCAGAUGGUCAACAGCAAGGUCAGUUUAACCUGCAUGAUCCUAGGCUUCUACCCCGCAGACAUGGCCGUGGAGUGGCAGAGGGACGGGCAGCAGGAGCAGGACUUCAAGAACACCCCGCCUGUCCUGGACUCGGACAAGACCUACUUCCUCUACAGCAAACUGACUGUGAGCAGGAAUGAUUGGGAAGAUGGGAACAUCUUCACCUGCACUGUGAUGCACGAGGCUCUGCACAACCAUAUCACACAGAAGACCAUCUCCAAGUCUCCGGAGAUGGUACUGGAUGAGACCUGUGCCGAGGCCCAGGACGGGGAGCUGGACGGGCUCUGGACGACCAUCACCAUCUUCAUCACCCUCUUCCUUCUCAGCGUGUGCUACAGCGCCACCGUCACUCUCUUCAAGGUGAAGUGGAUCUUCUCCUACUUGAUGGGGCUGAAGCAGACGGCCUACCCUGACUACAAGAACAUGAUCGGGCAGGGGUCCUAG